ACAGGUAGAUAGAAAAGGCAACAAAACAUACAAAGUUUAUGAUAGAUUAAAAUCCCAGAAAUAGUAAGAUAAAGUAACCAACAACUUUGGUUUACAAUAUAGCACUUAAUGCAGUAGAAACAACAUAGUAGCACCACCUAGAACUAUAGAGCGAUUUAUUCGUCCAACAUGUUUAGGACAAUUGAAGUAGCAUUCUUGGCGCAUAAUCCACUGCAAGACUCAUCACCACAGUCAAGGGAAGGGAUGAAUGUCAACCCCAAACAGCCGCAAACGCUUUUCUACCCUUACAAUUUCAAGUGAUGUCGAUUCAAGAAAUGUUGUUUGCUGUGGCAUCAGAUUAGUUGGAGGCAUCAGCUCCCCAAAUCCAAUGGACAAAGGCAUCGAUGCUGGAACAAUCCCAUGGCAUGUACUAAAUCCAAGGUUCUCAUGGUCCCAAUCAUCAAUCAUCAAUCUAGAUGGAGAGAAGAUUGGACAUGGCACAUGAUGUGGUAAAGACAUGGUACCAGUAUGGGGCUUGAUAUGAAUAAACAUGUGGUCUGUGCUUCUAGUCUUACCGACACCACGGUAGAAGGAUAAAACAUCACCUUUCUUGAGAUUCUUCUCCUUGAUAAAGAAGUGCCAGCCCUUAGUCAGGACAUAGGUCUUGCUAUUGUUCCAGAGGCAAAAGCGAAAGCACCAGAUUAACCCUGUGGACAUGUCCUCAAAAUUGAGAAAAUCUUCAUCAUCUUCAGCACUCUUGGUCUUGGAAAUCUUGGGAAAGCACUCCUCUGCGCAUUGCCUUGGGAUCAAUAGACGAUUCAGCUUGCCAACAUCACUUGCAGUCAGAAUCUUACUAAACAAGUACUCCACAUCAACGACCUUCCUGCCCCUUUGUCUUCCCUCACAUAAAUCUAAAGCUCCAUGACCAUUGCUCAUGCUAGAUUGGAAAACUAGUGUAGGCUUGGAUGACCAGUUAGAGACAUAUCGAGAGGGCAAAGGGGGGUUUACCAUCUGGAAGGGAUUCAAACAUGGUGGGACCUUCCCCAUCUGCACCUCCAUCUCCCUUGAAAUCGUUGUUGCCGAGAAAGCCAUGGAUCUAGAAGAGAGGUGCUAUGCAAAAAGAAUUGGUGAGGUAGGGGAGGGGAUGUGGAUGGGGGUUGAUGGGAUUAAGUAGUUGCAAGAUUGUACUUCUUUAUAUGGGUAUUUAUUGUGCUUAUUAAUUUUUCUUUUGGCAGCAAAUGAGAAAGUGGCUUUGGUGAUUUGGUAGCAUUCUGGAAUCCUCUACCCUCCCAUGAGAAGAGUAGGGUGCCAUUUUAGGAUCUUGUCUUAUUUGCAUGCAUUAAUUAGUCCAUCAGGGUUAUUUAAAUGGGAUACUCCAAAGCUCAGCCUUAAGAGUUGCUUAGGACGGCCCAGCUGGCAAUUGCCUAGCUAAACAUGGCCUGCCAUGACCUUUCACCCUCAAGCCACAUGAGGCCCACCUCUUGACCUGGCACCGUGGGAUGCCUCCAACCAACUUCUACCUUAACCACUAAGGAAAGGGUGAGGGGUUCAAACGUAUUCAAUACACCAACCCACAUAGGACACACAUGCACACACUCUGCUAGGUAUGAGAAGGAUGACUCCCCUUAGACCUUUUGAGCAUGGGGCAAGGCGUUUCUUCAAUCAAUACCUUGGUGAUAGACAAGACCACACCAGGGCAUAGCUAUGUCACCUCGCGUGGCUUAGCACCACCCAAAUCCUGUCUAGCCUAAUGGAUGGGUGUUUGAUCAAACCCACCACAUUGUGGGGACCAGACUCUCCAACUUUGAGUGGAUCCUAUGCCCCUAAUCCAAUUGGAUGAGGACAUCUCAACCAUACAUGCUUCCUCAAGUCUCAACCAUUCACAAUACAACAUUGAACACACAAAUCAAGGGACAUUUCCAUGAAUACAUGCCAAGAAACUACAAGGGUAGAUUAGGGGUCGAGAAAGCCAUAGAUCUAGAAUAGAGGUGCUAUGCAAAAAGAAUUGGUGAGGUAGGG
Molecule: long non-coding RNA, 1998 nt
Filed under: Sorghum bicolor (sorghum)
Lineage: Eukaryota; Viridiplantae; Streptophyta; Magnoliopsida; Poales; Poaceae
Description: long non-coding RNA (SBIC_LNC011789)
Source: RNAcentral